UAAAAAUACCUAACCUUCAAAACCCCUAAUUGAAAUCUCCCAAAAUCUUUCUAUUGUCACUGCCAGACCAACCACCUUCGUGAGCCUCUGGCAUCUACUAGAUCACCAUCACCGGCGAGUUGAGGUAGGUUUGUACUCUUGAAAAUUUGGGCACUAUUUAACUGCUUGCUUAUUCUACCAUGUCACCAUUUUUAUCUCAGUUUCUUUGUAAAAAGCUCAUGGUACAGUAAAAAAAACCAAAAAAGGCUUAAACCUAGUAAGACAUUUGUUGAAAUAUUAGCACUAUGAGAAUGGAGAUGAUAGCAGAUAAAAGACAAAGAAAGCCAGAUGUAAAAGGUAGUUGUCAAUUUCUAAGGUUUUUUUUUUUUUGGUUCAAACAAUUCCUAAGUUUCUGUAUCUUUUAAGUAAAAUAAAAAGAAAUAUCUCAAUCGUUCAAAACAAAGGUUCAGGUAAUUUGGUUCGCCAGGUUAAAAAUCUUGACUUGCAAAGCAAAGCACAGCCAUUGAAACCAAUUAAGUCUUUAAUACUAUAAAACAAAACAUUAACACUGAAGCAAACUAACUAAGAAACUACAGUUAUUAACAUAUUGAAUAUCUCUUAAGCCGAUAAAUAACGAAAGCAAAUUAUUUAUUUUAUUUUAUUUUGUCACGAUUCCAUUUUUGAAAUGUUAUAGUUCAUUGUUUGGAAUCAUGGAAUAUUUUAAGCUGUGGAUUGCCUACUAAUCUCCUUCAUACACAUUCCUUGAACCUACAAUCUUGAUAUCCUUAAUGUCAACUGUUUGGAUAAUCUAUAUUGUUCAAGUGCAAGUUUGAAGUUGUAAGUUAUAUGGCUUCUUUCAACCCCUCUUAUCCUAUCCACAUCUUUUAAAAUGAAGCAGUGAAGCUUUGAACAAUAUAGAUUGUCUAUCAUAAAUUUUAAAUGACUACAGUUCUUUGACUUAGCUGCUUUGACGCUAACUAAUCAUAUGGUGUUAUUACAUGUUGGAAAUUAAGGGAAUUUGCAUAAGAUAUAGUUCCAAACUUAGAACUCUGAACUUAACAGAGAAUGGAUGUGAUUCUUUAUGAUGCUAUGAGAAAUUUUCUUAGGGUGUUCCAAAUUUAUUUUGUCCAUUUGCAUGAAGCAUGAUUAUAAUGAACCAAAAAGGUUAAGGGAUUCUCUUAUACCUCUCCACUUGCAAAUACUUAUAGAAAUAAAAGUAUUAUAGAUUAAUGGCUAUUGUGCAAGCUUUGAACUCUUUUGGUUAACAAAUUAUAGUCAAAACACAUCUGUCCUAUGGUUCUUUUGUUGAAACUCCAUUGAUUAAUGGUAAUUGCAAGCUUUCAAGUUUCAAAUUAAUGGGUAGUGGAAUUAUCGCUUGACUGCUAAAUGUUGAAGGUUCCCUAGUGGAAAUCAUAAAUAAUUAAACAAUCUCUAUGGCUGUUUCAUUUUCUGUAUUAUUGUUGGUUUUCCUGGUUGUGUGGUCUGCUUUUGACUGUGGUUAUGUUUGUUUGGCUUGAUGUUGCUACUCUCUUGGUUUGUAUGAUUCUCCUCUAUUUUGGACUUUCUUUUUAGGUUUAAUACUCAUUUUGACCCUGAACUAUGUUUGUUCUCUCACUUUGGUAACUAAUUUUUUUUAUUUUAGAUUAGUACUUAAACUAUCAUUAUGUUAUCCCAUUCACCUUUUUUUGAACGGUGUUUAAAAAAUCAACUGUUACAAAGUGUCAAUAAAAAUGUGACAUAUUAAACCUUUCAAUAAAUCCAAAUAUGUCACAAAAAUUUCUAUAGCUUAGUUACAUUAAUGCAAUAAUAUUCCACUACAGUUUGAGAGUGGAGCCUACUGCAACUGGUCUUAAAUAACUAAAUCAGAUGGAGCAGAAGGAAUCUUCCGUGCAUAUAUUCUUUUAAUUGUCAUAAUUUAUUUUAUAAAAAAUUACAUUCAGAACACAAGAAAAUCAUAAGCCACAUUUUCAUUCAAUCAACCUACAUUAAUGAUAAUUAAUUCCAAUUUUUGAAUGUUCGAAGCUAAUCAAAAUUCUAAUAAAAAAGUUCACAGUUUUUCUUGUGUCUUUUAAUUCUUCCUGCAUCAUCUGGAAUGUCACUGUUAUAACUUACAUAUAAGGCCUAGAAAGAUUAGAUGGUUAGAUGGAGUGUAAUGGUUGGUUAAAAGCAGAAUUUAUUUAUCUAAUACUCAACAUCAAAAUAUGUCUAAUAUUAUAAAUGUAUUUUAAUUUAUUAUAUAAUUUUUUUCUUGCAAAAUGUCCACUGAACCAACAUCUAUUGAGGGUAGUGUUACACCUCCUACUUCGAUAGACUCUGAAAAUUCGGGAGUUAGAGCUUCAAGCUAAACAAAUGGACUAUUAGGAAAUGAAAAGCCACUCCUCAAAGGUCAGAAGUUUGGUCUCACUUCACUAAGAUUAUUAAUAGUGAGGGUGCAAGUAAGGCUAAAUGUAAUUAUUGUCAAAAGGAAUGUUGUUGUGAUAUGAAAAAAAUGGUACAGGAUCAUUAAAAUAUCAUAUUGGUUCAUACAAGAAAAAUACUAGUAAUGUUGUUGAUACUACUCAAGGACAACUAGUUUUACCUAGAAAGGAAGUUGAAGGAGAGGAAGGGCAUAUUUUAACUUGGAGAUUUGAUCAAGAAGCAUGUAGGAAAGGAUUAGCACAAAUGAUUGUGAUUGAUAAAUUACCUUUCAAGUUUGUUGAAAGUGAAAGCUUUAAGAAAUUUAUGUUUGUGGCAUGUCCUAGGUUUCAUAUUCCUUCACGAACUACAAUGACUAGGGAUGUUUAUCAAUUGUAUUUAGAUGAAAGGGUCAAGAUAAAAACAACUUUUGAGAAGUUCUUGUUCUAGAGUUUGCUUAACUACUGACACAUGGACUUCUUUGCAAAGAGUUAAUUAUUUGUGUAUCACUGCUCGCUUUAUUAAUAACGAUUGGAAAUUGAAUAAAAAGAUUUUAAACUUUUGUCCAAUUUCUAGUCAUAAGGGUGAGUCCAUUGAGAUGGUGAUUGAAGAGUGCUUGUUGAAUUAAGGGAUUGAUAAGUUAUUUAUUGUUACUGUUGAUAAUGCAAGUUCAAAUGAUAUUGCUAUUGGUUAUUUGAGAAAGAAAUUUAACCCUCAAAGGGGUUUAGUUCAAAAUGGUAAAUAUUUUCAUAUGAGAUGCACGUCACACAUUGUGAAUUUGAUUAUUAUUGAAGGCUUAAAGGAAAUGAAUAAAUCUGUUGAACGUGUUAGGAGGGAUGUUGGAUAUGUGAGACAAUCUUUAGAUAGAUUACAAAAGUUUAAGGGGUGGGUUGUGGUGGAAAAGAUAGAGUGCAAGAAGAUGUUGUAUCUUGAUGUUUGUACUAGGUGGAACUCGACCUACUUAAUGUUAGACAUUGCUCAGAACUUUGAGAGAGCUUUUGAAAGAUUUGAGGAGCAAGAUACAAACUUUGAGGCUGAACUUGAAAGUGGAGAGGGUUGGCCUAGUGUGGAUGAUUGGGCUAAUGUUAGAAACUUGAGGGAUUUCGUGGAACACUUUUAUGAAGUCACUUUGCGUAUAUCUGGCACUUCAUAUGUCACGUCCAAUAAUUUUUUUGACGAGUUUUCUGAAAUUGAUUUUCUUUUACGAGAUGCUCAAUUAAAUAAUAAUAUUGAUUUCAAUGUUAUGGCUAUCAAGAUGAAAGAGAAGUAUGAUAAGUAUUGGGGUGAUAUUGAUAAAAUGAAUUUGCUUAUGUUUGUUGCUUGUGUUUUAAAUCCUAGACAAAGACUAAAGUAUCUUGAAUUUGCACUUAGUGAAAUGUCUAGUUCUGAAAAAGCUUGUGAAAUGAUGCAAAAAUUGAAGGAAUCUUUGUAUGAAUUUUUUGAUGAGUAUAAGCCUCCACUUCAUUGUACUUGUAGCCAAUCGAGUAUGCCAACACAUGUUUCUCUCGUUGAACCACAACAAAAAAUGAAAAGGCGAAUGUAGGCUUUGUUUAAAAACCAUGAGUUGGAAAAUGGUGGUAAGGAUAAAACAUCUGAGUUGGAUAAAUAUCUAGCUGAGGCUAAUGAGGAAUUUGUUGAAGAUUUUGAUAUUUUGUGGUGGAAAGUGAACAACCCUAGAUUUCCCACUCUUUCAAAAAUGGCCAAAGAUGUGUUAGCUAUACCAGUUUCUACGGUUGCUUCAGAGUCUGCAUUUAGCACCAGGGGACGUGUGCUUGAUCAAUAUAGGAGUUCUUUAACUCCUAAAAUUGUACAAGCUCUUGUGUGUACUCAAGAUUGGAUUUGGAAAUCAUUAUUACAAGAAGACAUCAAAAAUAUUGAAGAACAAAUCCAAGAGCUUGACAAGAUUGAAAAUGAUAUAUUUAUUGUUUUAUUUUAAUAGUUUCAAUUUUUUUACCAUAUCACUCCUACUUAUUUAAUUGAUUCAAUGUUUAGACUAGCCAACAACAACCCAUAUGUCACGGCAUGAAUAUCAGAUUUAUUUCCUAGGUUCAAGCAGGAACUCUACUAUCUCUAUUAUCAACAUACCAUCUCAAUUUCACAAUCAAACAAUUCAUGCUAUAUUAACUUACAAUCUAUUCAUUUGUUUAUAUUAUUUAAUUUUUUUAAAUGCGUAUAUUUCUAUUAUAUGCUAAUUUUUUGCACAUGUUUUUUUGUCGGUUUAAUGCAAAUGGAGAUCUUUUGGAGAGAAGAAAGGGAUACAAAUGAAGAAUAUUAAAGACUUAUAUUUCAAUUAUGUGUUAAUUUCAAGACUUAUAUAAUGUUUUUAAUUAUGUAGUGAUUCGGUACUUUAAUUCAGUUAAUUCGGUUGGUUUAGCUGAUUCGGUUACUUCGAUUAAUUCAGUUAAUUUUAUAUUUAUUUUAACCAAAAAUAAAAAAAAAACAUAUAAUUUUCGGUUAAUUCGAUUAAUGGUAUUUCGGGUCGGUUAACCGACUGAACACCCCUACCUUCAACCAACAUUGAGGAUAUUUUUGGCUCGGCACCUCUAGUCUCACAAUACCCCUUCACCUCCGAUGAUGGGGUAUACAAUUAUACAACUUUCUUAAGUACACUGGGAGGGACACCAGACGCCGGCUUGAGCAACUAUCAAACGCCUCUUCAAGGUGCACGCCCUUGCCAACGGAGGCUGCCCUAUCAUUAUACGCCGGCCCCGGGAUGUUGUAAGAUCUAGACAAGUUCGAUUUUUUUUUGUAGAUAUUAACUUUGUAAUUAUUCUUACAAUACAAAAAAUUUUAAAUUUUUAACUUAAUUAUUUC
RNAcentral lists this long non-coding RNA (5187 nucleotides) under Gossypium barbadense (sea-island cotton). RNAcentral describes it as "long non-coding RNA (GBAR_LNC004638)". The record is from RNAcentral. Lineage: Eukaryota; Viridiplantae; Streptophyta; Magnoliopsida; Malvales; Malvaceae.